UACGUAGGGUCCAAGCGUUGUCCGGAUUUAUUGGGCGUAAAGAGCUCGUAGGCGGUUUCGUAAGUCGGAUGUGAAAACUCAGGGCUCAACCCGGAGACGCCAUCUGAUACUGCGAUAACUUGAGUCUGGUAGGGGAACACGGAAUUCCUGGUGUAGCGGUGAAAUGCGCAGAUAUCAGGAGGAACACCGAUGGCGAAGGCAGUGUUCUGGGCCAGUACUGACGCUGAGGAGCGAAAGCGUGGGGAGCAAACAGG
RNAcentral lists this ribosomal RNA (254 nucleotides) under uncultured bacterium. Its description in RNAcentral is "partial 16S ribosomal RNA". It matches the Rfam family "Bacterial small subunit ribosomal RNA", at positions 524 to 776 of the family's 1533-position model. The record is from RNAcentral.